ACCUGUCAACACUUUUUGACCAUGUCCUCCAUCAUUUUCUCGGCCCAUUACCGUCAUCUCUUCCGAUUUCUCAUCUCGGCCUUCCCAAAAUCAAAACGUUUUCAAGAUUCUCUACCACAUCGAAUCUUUUGACAUAUAACAUGAAGCAUUAAAUAUAGACGAAAAUAAAAACUAAUUGUACAGUUUAACUGUAAAUCGCG
Molecule: long non-coding RNA, 200 nt
Filed under: Sorghum bicolor (sorghum)
Lineage: Eukaryota; Viridiplantae; Streptophyta; Magnoliopsida; Poales; Poaceae
Description: long non-coding RNA (SBIC_LNC007909)
Source: RNAcentral